AGUGCAUUACCAGCAAGCAUCCCAGGCAGGGCACUCAUUUUGCAAGCUCGCAGAAAGUGUGGUCAUGCCAAGUAAGUGUCCAGGAGGGAUUAUAAUUCAUGGGCUUCUGGGGAAGAGGAUGAGCAGCCAGCCUGGAAGCUCUGAAUUCUCUGACAUUGGAAUAGAUCGAAAGCAUCCUACAAUCGCCGCCCGCCAGGCGCCCACGUGACCUCGUUGUCUUUGCGGCAUGUGCAAACUUGUUCACAGCUGUGGCUGUUGUCAUCACUUCAGCGGGAUUAUGUGCACUGUUGGCACUUCAUGUGCCGGGUUUAAUUGCCAUGUAAAAUGCCUUCAGAAAGAUUAUACUAUGAUUCAGCAUUGAAAGGAAAACUUACGGUGUAUUC
RNAcentral lists this long non-coding RNA (383 nucleotides) under Homo sapiens (human). Its description in RNAcentral is "non-protein coding lnc-CLDN23-4:1". The record is from RNAcentral. Lineage: Eukaryota; Metazoa; Chordata; Mammalia; Primates; Hominidae.